Molecule: ribosomal RNA, 256 nt
Filed under: uncultured archaeon
Lineage: Archaea
Description: partial 16S ribosomal RNA
Rfam family: Archaeal small subunit ribosomal RNA
Source: RNAcentral
CAGCCGUAAACUAUGCUCGCUAGGUGUCAGGGACGGUGCGACCGUUUCUGGUGCCGCAGGGAAGCCGUGAAGCGAGCCACCUGGGAAGUACGGUCGCAAGGCUGAAACUUAAGGAUUGCGGGAGCACCACAACGGGUGGAGCCUGCGGUUUAAUUGGACUCAACGCCGGGAAGCUCACCGGAUAAGACAGCGGAAUGAUUGCCGGGCUGAAGACCCUGCAUGACCAGCUGAGAGGUGGUGCAUGGCGUAGUCGUGU